AGGAGCCUCCUGCACACGUCCCUCUGCGCCCGCCCGCCCGGCCAGCGCCGGCUACUGUUGUUUGUGGCUCUGCAGCCGAAGCGGGCCUUGCUUCCUGCCUGGAAUGGCUGGAAUUCUCGAGUGGAGAGAAGCCCAAGCCGGGAGGCAGGACAGAGGACUGCCAGCCUCAGCAGCAGCCGGCAGCCCUGGCGUCCAGCUCACAAAGCAAACAGCUGCGAAGAGUUCCCUUUAAGAACGAGGCGUGGGCUGGGGUGCCACUCAUGAGGAGCCCUUGCCUGGCCAGCACAGCCUGGUUCCAGCCCCAGCACCUCCAAGGAACAAAAAAACAAGCAAAAAAGAAUAAGGCGUCCUCUGCCAAUGAACCCCUCCCCCAGGGAGGGCCUGGGCAGGUGGGCCAGUGCCUGGGCAGCACACCAGGACCCUGGGGAAGCGCGGGGCCCCACAGCCUGAGGGCCCUCUCUGCCCGUGUGCCACGGCUGCUAGGAGCCCGCGGGGCACGGCUCUGCCCACAGUGAGAAGGUUCUCAGGGCUCAUCACCUGUGCCGAGGGGACGCCUGUGACUCUCCAUCACUGUGGCCCACAGAGGAGCCAGCCACACCUGUGGGUCAGCAGAGGGGUGCAGGCUGGGAGGACUAGGGUCCACUCAGGCAGGUGGACGGGGAGCCCCCUCUCGGAGGCCACCCUGCAACGGGCUCCUCUGGAAGGCAGGUGGCUUGGUGAGAAGGUCCCGCCCUGUCCCAUCUGCUCCCAGUGCUGUCUGCAUGAGGGGCAGUAAGCAAGACCCCAACCCCUGGCCCAAGGCAGAGAGGCGCUUCCCGAAGGGCAAGGGCGAC
This 833-nucleotide long non-coding RNA is filed under the name Marmota monax (woodchuck). The record is from RNAcentral. Lineage: Eukaryota; Metazoa; Chordata; Mammalia; Rodentia; Sciuridae.